Molecule: ribosomal RNA, 256 nt
Filed under: uncultured bacterium
Lineage: Bacteria
Description: partial 16S ribosomal RNA
Rfam family: Bacterial small subunit ribosomal RNA
Source: RNAcentral
UACAGAGGUCCCGAGCGUUGUUCGGAUUCACUGGGCGUAAAGGGUGCGUAGGUGGCUUGAUAAGUUCGAUGUGAAAUCUCCGGGCUCAACCCGGAAAAUGCAUUGAAUACUAUCGGGCUGGAGGUUUGGAGGGGGGACUGGAAUUCUCGGUGUAGCAGUGAAAUGCGUAGAUAUCGAGAGGAACACCAGUGGCGAAGGCGAGUCCCCUGGACAACACCUGACACUGAGGCACGAAAGCUAGGGGGAGCAAAACAGG